ACGGCCUGGGGAGGGAGAGGGAUCCCGUGGUCACUGGCCCGGCCCCUCUUCACAUUCACUUCAAUCCCCUUGGGGCAAGGAAACUGAGGCAAAGAGCUCAGCAGCGUGCUCACAGGACUCAGCCGACAAGUGAGAGAGCAAAGCUGGAGCUCAGGCUGCUGCCCUCGAGGCUCCCAAAGUCUGCUUCCGGCCCCACCGGGGAGAGGGGAGGCCCAGGGCUGCUCCACAGCUCCCGCCCUGACAGGCUCUCCCUCCCACAAAGCCCCUGCCUCGUUUGAUCCUGCAGUGACCCUCAGUCCCCAAAUGAGAACCGUGAGGCCUGGCUACAAAUGCCUGGUCAAAGAAGGAACGUACUUUUCUGCUGUGCCAUGCUCCCCGGGCAUUCAGCCGGGCACCUAGGAAUGCCAAGUAGCUCAGGGGACAUAACUGUUCUGGAGCGUGUGCUGGUAUGUGCAGCGCUCACAGGAGGACAAGCAUCUUGAUGCCACUGAAGGCCCAGGCCCAGUGACGUAGCUUGGGUCAGCCCUGCCCGAACCGUGGGGGGUGAGCACUGGUACGUCUCCACCUCCACCUUUCUCACCUCCCCAAGGAGUGAAUUUCCUCCUACCUCCCCACCUGCAGGCAGCAUCCUGUGCCAGCCCAGCAGCUGGGCAGAGGCUCUCGGACGGAAGACGGCUGUCCCUGGAGCGGCACGGACCCGUCAGAGUCCAAGGCCCAGCUAAGGCUGCCACGUGCCCCCACCCAGCGCUCCCCGAACCUCCGGGCUGACCUUGUCCACUUGCUCCAGCCAGGAUGUUCCAGAACCUGCCAGGAAAUACCAGUGCACCCAAAAUAUGAGAGACAUCAUCCUGUGUGGAGAGCCUGAGAUGUGAACAACCUAUGAGCCUAUGUGCCCUGUCUCAGAGGUGGGAACUCAGAGCCAACACCAACACCGUCCCAGCAGCAAGCUCUUCCCAUGGACCUCUGCUCCACUGAACUCAGGCAGCAUCUCCUCUCUUGGAGAGGAGCCGCUUCCUCUCUCGACUGCGUCCCGCUCAGGUCCCCUCUGUUAUUCUGAAUCACAAACCCAGGCCUUUGCCUCCACACAACAGUGACAGUCCCAAGUACACUCUCAUGUCUGUGCUCCUCUGCCUCCCCGACUAGACCAUGGCUCCAUACCAGCAGGGACUGUUGAGCUCACAGUGUACCUAUAACUCUGCUCAGUAACUACAUGGAGGAGUGAAUGAAUGUGCGGCCAGUGAGAAGGGCUACAAUCAAGAUGCUUCCAGAAUACGAGCACGUCAGACAAAUGUAACACAAAGCAUCUAAACCUGACAGACUCAACAUAAAAUGGAACAGCCACCUCCAAAACUGGAAAGAUGCUAAGAAAUCAACACGUUGCCCUAUCUCUGGAGUGAGAUUAGGGAGCUCCCAACCUGGUCAGAAUGUCAAAUGUGGCUCAGAGGCUCAGGCUCAGUGUGAUCAGGAAGCCCAGCACCCUCAGCAGAGGUUAUUCCUUAUCUCCUCCAACAGCUGCCAGGAGAGGGGAACUAAGAGUAGAGGCGGCGGUUUGGGUACCGAGCUGUUUUACGUGGUACCUCAGUGAAUACUCACACCAGCCCGCCCAUGAGAGGGAGGAACCCUGCCCGCAGAGGUGGAGCCUGAGGCUAUGACUGAAGUGCCCUCCAGAACCCACAGUCCAUACCAUUCUAACACCUGUGUUCAGCAAAUAGCCUUUGGGGUUACAGCUAGGUCUGCCUGGUGCCUCUCUUUACCAGGAAGGCCACUUUGAGCCUAUUCAGAUUUUUCCCUUUGCCUCUGGUGAAGCUGGCUGUUGUGAGCCUGCCUGCGAGAGUUCUGGGCGACUGGGCAGAACCAGCACACUGGAAUGAACAGCACCUAGGCCCUGGCACUUGAGGCCACUGCUUCUCACUGCACACUGGCCCUGUGCCCAGCACUUCACUCAUGUUAUUUCAUUUAAGCCUCGCUACCGUCUUAGAAGGAAGAUGCUGCCAUUAUACAAAUUUUAAAGCAGAGGAAACUAAGAGAGGCUAAGUUGCUUGUCUAGUUUUACCCAGCUAAGAGAAACAUGGGACAGGGACCUGACCCACCUCCAAGCCAUAAGCCACUUGCUUCAACCUCAUUCUGCAUUGCCUCUGGCUGUGGACAAAGCACUUUUCAAAAGCCCAGAUCCUGCCCCAGGUCUCAGAGACACACACGCUCUCUUACCCAAAGAUCCAUGUGAUGCUGAGGUCCCCAAAAAUGUGUUUUCUGACUGGCUCAGGUGGCCCUGGGGCUGCUGCAGGAAAUGUGAGGAGAGGCUGACAGGAGGGGACGGGGAUGCUGAGUGGAAGGAAGCAGAACUGCCCAAGGAACCAGGGAUGUUCACGGGCGCAGAACUCUGCAGCAAACUGCCACCUGGAAGAGAGGCCCCGGAGGGCCAGUAAGGGCAGGGCAAGCGAUGCGGAGCCACACCAGCAGGGGGCAGCUCAUGUGCCCAUCUUGGGCCAGGUUGGACCCCCUACGAGCCCUCCCUCGAGUGCUGCCCGCCCGCUGCCCAGUACCAAUUGUGAUGCUGCCUGGGUGGGGCACUGUGCUGUUAUCGAAAGUCUUCUCUAGGGCGGCCACCCCAAACUCGUUCAGGUCCAGGUCAUCCAAGGCAGAUUCUGGAGACAGACAGAUUGGGGUGUGAGCCUCCUUGCCUCCUGAGAGGCCACACCACCCUGAGGUUCCAGGCCUCGCCCCCAGGACCCACCUGCCCUCUACUGCCUCCUCUUCACGCUCAGUCCCACUAGACCCAUGCUCUCGAGCCUCUGCCUGUCGGGCUGCUGCUCUGCCAACACAGACGCCCUGCGCUAUCUGCCUCGCCAAGUCCAGCUCAAAUGGCGCACUUUUCCGAAAUCUUCACUGAUACCUCCAAGGAACCCAAUGCAGGGUUCCUGACUCUGACAGAGGUCUUGUCUCCUGCUGUUACAGCUCAUAUCAUCCCUGAGUUCUCUGGGGGGCAAGCAAGCCUCUGGGCCCUCAGUGGCUACUGCAUAGUAGGUGCUUGACAAAUAUCCACUGCCCUCUGCUGGACUAGACUGGGAAGCUGGGAACAACAGGAACACCCUGUCUGCGUCUCUUAACAUCCCAGUGCUUAAAACACGAUCUGGCACAAAGUAGCACCCAUAAAUGACUGCUGAGAGAGAAGGGCAGUGGCUUCAAAUGGCCAGGAACUCUGAGGACAGUUGUGCAGGCUGUUCACUACACAAGGAUACCUAGUGAGAAAAUGAGUGAGGGCUGAACCACCUAUGUCGUGGAAUGAGACUGCACUUGUCCAGAGAAAGAGUUAUGUCUUUCUAAUUUGCACAACAGAGCAAACUGAAGGGCUACUUACUUUCCUGUAAGGGCUAGUCUUGGGCCACACCUUGGGCUCAUUUUCCCUUUUCAAAGGGCUCAGAGUGCCCACCCUCUGACUCUCUCAAGAUAAAUGUCUACUGGUUUGAAUCUCACUCCAGGGACCUAGUUUCUCUAACUCCAGAUCCAGUCCUGGACUUGGCAACAGAAAUGGCCUAAUUACCUA
Callorhinus ursinus (northern fur seal) is the source of this 3544-nucleotide non-coding RNA. The record is from RefSeq and is a predicted model, not a curated record. Lineage: Eukaryota; Metazoa; Chordata; Mammalia; Carnivora; Otariidae.